Long non-coding RNA from Acipenser ruthenus (sterlet), 922 nucleotides. RefSeq lists it as uncharacterized. NCBI's taxonomy places the organism in Eukaryota, Metazoa, Chordata, Actinopteri, Acipenseriformes, Acipenseridae. The transcript has 3 exons. The record is from RefSeq and is a predicted model, not a curated record.
UUUUAUUUUAAGCCGUUGAAUAUGAUAGCAACCAACUUGCUCCUGAAGUAUCACCCACCCAGCAAACACUUGCACUGUCGACCGGUCACUGUUCAUCACAGCUACCGUACACAGCCCUUGGCGGAGGAAUCAGCGACGGACGCUUCACAGCCUCUGGAUCCUCUUGCCCCAUCCCUGCCACAGACUGUCAUCACUGAAGCUGAUGAUGAAGAAAUUCUCAGGGGAGUCCCUCUUCAGCUUUUCUGCUUCUUCAUUUACAAUAUUCCAAAUAGCACUAUACAAUCCCAAUAUAUAUUAAAAACAAUACAAUAUACCCUCAAUAUUCAUUCUUUUAAUAAGGCCUUACAGGGCAUGCGACAUUAAAGGAACACCGAUAUAGAACUGGAGUGCAUGAGAAUGGGUUAUGUAUGGAAUGUAGUGGAAAGGAAACAGUGGAGCAUCUGAGGGAUUGCAAUAUUUCCAAUAUUUUUUUGAAAUGGUACAGGUGAUAGAAAAAUAGAAAAAGGUAUUAUUGGGUGUAUUGCAAAAUAUAUUAGGAAGACUCAAGAAUAUUUAACAUACAGAGAUUUUAAAAGGUUAAGUGUUCACAGCAGUUUUAAUAGCCAAAUCUGAACAGUAGGUGGUGACAAUAAGUUUUGCUAGAAACUUGGUGACCAUUAACAGAACAGAAGAAGAAACAGGAGAGAAGAAGGGACGGUAGGUGUGGGACUUGGUAUUCGGUGUGCCGCUAUAGAGGGGAGUGCUCGGAAGACGCAUUUUGUCGGUGUCCUGCGGUGUUAAAGCCAGUUAUUUCAGGGGUUUUUGAGUCCAGUAUCACUACAUUUAAUUACACUCAAUCCAGAGAGUACUGUCUGUCGCAGAAUGCAGCUUUAGCAACCUUAGAGCAGGUGAGCAGUGCUCGGAACAUCAGCUUCCAGACCUG